UCACUCAAUUUCUCUCAUUUUUUUUUUAAUUAUUUUCGAUUUCUAAGUGUAAUCAAUUUUGCUUCAUUGAACCCACUACUGGCACUACAGUCGUAUGCAUUAUUAUUGUUGAAUUGAAUUAUGUGUUCUUUGGGUUUAAACUACAUGUUCUAUGGGUGUAUAUAUUCUAUGAGUUUGAACUAUAAGUUCUUCCCACUUGUUUACGAAUUCUUUGUUUUAUUCCUGAAGUUGAUGAUAAGUUUGAAUAUUUGUUAAUGAUUUUUUUCCAAAAAUAUGCUAAUUUUUGUGAUAAAUUGUUAUAUUUUAUCACUGUUCUUUGCAUUUUGCUUUUAUGUUCUUCCUGUUAUCUAUGUUCUUUGUAAUUUUUCCUUAUGUUCUUUGUAAUUUUUCCUUAUGAUCUUUCAUUUAAAAACAUGGUGCAUGGUGAACAUUGUGCACUUGGGUGCAUAAUUAAACCACAUAUAAAAUAUCUCAUAUCUCUAAUAUGGGGUUUCUUUCCUUCUAAAAUAAUUUCGACCAAGUUUACAUAAGAGACCUCUUUUCUUACAUGAAGGGUCUCUUUAUGAAAGAGACCCAUGAGAUAGAGACCCCUUAAAAGGAGGAAUCUUAGACCAUUUAGGAAGGGCCUCUUUGCCAUUUUUUAUAGUAGUGAUAUUAUUUAAAGUUACUACAUAUAGGAUAUUAAUUAGUUACUUCUUAUAUAUUCUAUAAAAUGUUUGGAGUAACCUCUUACUAAUUAUAUAAUAAGUUAUGUAAACCUUUAAUAAUAUGCAAUGUGAAGUAACGAUUUCACAUAUUGUAAUUCUUAAUCAGGCCCGGCCAUUGGGAGGUCUGGUCGGAUCCUCAUCAUAGGGCCCGAAAAUUUGGGGGCCCAAAAAAAAUUUAAACACUGAUGAGUUUACUAUAAAAAAAAUAAAAUAAACUUCCCUUUCCCAUACCUUCUCCCUUUCCCGUAACUUCUUGAAACAAUGAAACAUGGAAACCCAAAAAUAACUCUCUAAAUUCUCUCUCCUUCCCAUGGUGAUUUCCAAAAAUUAGGCAAUUACAACCUUCAUCAACUACUCAACGGUUCAAUCUUCGACCGGCAUUCCUCUUCUCGCUCCUAUGAAUCUCACUUUCUCUCUCUUCCGUUCAAGCCUCUCUACCAGAAAAUUUGUCAAAGUUCGAUGGCAAGGCGGUGUAUUUUGAUGGAUUUGGAACUCCGAGUAGAAACGAACGCGGUGGAAUUUGGUCAAUUAGGUAGGGUUUAUUGAAGAUUUUGGGUAUAAUUUUAUGGAUUUGAUUGUUGUUCCUGUAUGUGGAAUUUGUUCAUUUUAAUUGCAAAUUGAAUCGGGUAGUAUGUAAAUUUUGAAUUGA
Long non-coding RNA from Spinacia oleracea (spinach), 1356 nucleotides. RefSeq lists it as uncharacterized. The record is from RefSeq and is a predicted model, not a curated record. The transcript has 2 exons. Lineage: Eukaryota; Viridiplantae; Streptophyta; Magnoliopsida; Caryophyllales; Amaranthaceae.